This 422-nucleotide ribosomal RNA is filed under the name uncultured archaeon. RNAcentral's name for it is "bacterial SSU rRNA". It matches the Rfam family "Archaeal small subunit ribosomal RNA", at positions 459 to 881 of the family's 1478-position model. The record is from RNAcentral.
CAGCCGCCGCGGUAAAACCAGCACCUCAAGUGGUCAGGAUGAUUAUUGGGCCUAAAGCAUCCGUAGCCCGUUUUGUAAGUUUUCGGUUAAAUCCAUGCGCUUAACGUAUGGGCUGCCGGGAAUACUGCAUAACUAGGAAGUGGGAGAGGUAGACGGUACUCGGUAGGAAGGGGUAAAAUCCUUUGAUCUAUUGAUGGCCACCUGUGGCGAAGGCGGUCUACCAGAACACGUUCGACGGUGAGGGAUGAAAGCUGGGGGAGCAAACCGGAUUAGAUACCCGGGUAGUCCCAGCUGUAAACUAUGCAAACUCAGUGAUGCAUUGGCUUAUGGCCAAUGCAGUGCUGCAGGGAAGCCGUUAAGUUUGCCGCCUGGGAAGUACGUACGCAAGUAUGAAACUUAAAGGAAUUGGCGGGGGAGCACCA